This 472-nucleotide ribosomal RNA is filed under the name uncultured bacterium. RNAcentral's name for it is "bacterial SSU rRNA". It matches the Rfam family "Bacterial small subunit ribosomal RNA", at positions 355 to 825 of the family's 1533-position model. The record is from RNAcentral.
UGGGGAAUUUUGGACAAUGGGGGCAACCCUGAUCCAGCCAUGCCGCGUGAGUGAAGAAGGCCUUCGGGUUGUAAAGCUCUUUCGGCGGGGACGAAACGGUCCGUGACAACACCACGGACUAAUGACAGUACUCGCAGAAGAAGCACCGGCUAACUACGUGCCAGCAGCCGCGGUAAUACGUAGGGUGCAGGCGUUAAUCGGAAUUACUGGGCGUAAAGCGUGCGCAGGCGGCUCCUUAAGUCAGAUGUGAAAUCCCCGGGCUUAACCUGGGAACUGCGUUUGAAACUGAGGGGCUAGAGUGUGGAAGAGGGGGGUGGAAUUCCAGGUGUAGCAGUGAAAUGCGUAGAUAUGCGGAGGAACACCGAUGGCGAAGGCAGCCUCCUGGGAUAACACUGACGCUCAUGCACGAAAGCGUGGGGAGCAAACAGGAUUAGAUACCCAAGUAGUCCCUGAGCGGGCUGGCAAGGCGCAU